AUCUGUUUCUUUCAAGAGCAGAAGCGCUCUCUCUCUCUGGCUUGCGUUUUCGAGGAUUUGCAGAGAGAUGGAAACUUCAAGCAAAGAGGUCUUCAAAGGUUCACGAUUAUAUUACCAAGCAGUUCUUAAUUCAUGUCGUCAAAGAGUUAUGAAUUUAAUUUGCCUGACUUCUGGACAGAAACAGAGUGUGCAAUCAAGAGGGCAUACUGUAUGACCGAUACAAACAAUUCUGGAGAAAGCAGUUGAUUUUGAAAGAGGAGGUUCAACUGUAAUCACAACAAUAUUCAUCUGUUGUGGCUGCUAUACAUAUGCAUCGUAUAUCUGAUUUCAAGCUUUCUCAAGGUCUUCUUGAUGAUAUAAUAAAGGCAGGGUGUAGAUUUCUAUGGGGACAGAAUUAAAAUGAAAGGAAACUUCACUGGUUGGUUAGGAUUGUUCGUGUUUGCGAAGCCUUAUGAAGGACUGGGAAUAAAGGACCUCAAUAUCCCAAACUUGGCAUUGCUGGCAAAGCUAGGAUGGCAGCUGUUAACCAAAGUGGAUCUCUAUGGGCUACCCUUAUGACAGAUCAACCUACAAGCUUGGUGCUCAGAUGUCUCCUUGCACAUCCCGCUUGGUUGAUAGAGAUUUGGCUACUCCAGAGGUGGUGUAGAAUUGUAAAGUUCCACCCAAGGUGAAGUCUUUUCUGUGGAAGGCUUGUUUAAGGGCUAUAGGAGUGAUUGAUAAUUUGAAGGUGAAGCACAUUGUCAGUUAGAAGUGUGUCUUAGAUGCGUGGACAAGGCCCUGAGAGUGGAACAUGCACUUCUUUACUGCUCUUUGUCUCAGCAGGCUUGGUUUGCUCUUCCCAUUUCUAUAAGAUCUUCCAUAAUCCUGAGCUUAUAUUACCCCUUGAAGAUUAUAAAGUGGGUAGAGUCCCCAGAACUACCAAAAAGGAGCAGCACAGGUUCUUUACUUCUCAUGCUAUCAUUUUCUGGGAGAUAUGGAAGAUGAGGAAUGCAAGAGUAUUUAAAACCUCAUUACCCUCAUUCUGGUCAUGGAUUUCAGUGGUGAAACAAAAUGUGGAGGAAGCUCUCUCCUUGAUUCCUCAAACUUUUGUUGGUCGGGAAUUGUUACUACUUACUACUGUGGAGCCCACCCCACCUCAUGAUGAGUCCUUUAUUAUCUAUACUGAUGCUGUCUUAUCUACCCGUCCCAAAGCAAUGGGGUUGGGAUGUAUCAUCUUUGACCAUAUGAGGAGACUCAGAUUGUUGGCUACUGAUCACUUAGUUUUCAUGCCUGCAUUGGUGGGAGAAGCUUCUGCCAUUAGAUUGGCCUUUACUGCAGCUUGACAUGCUAGACUGACUCAUAUCACUAUAUACUCAGAUUGUCAGUUGCUAGUAAAGAGCUUCUUUUCAUCUCCUUAAACAUCCUUCAUCUAUUAUAUUCACUUUAGCCAUGGACAUCUUGAAGCUGAAGACUGACUUUACUUUUUGUACUUUUCUGCAUAUAAUUAGGUCUGCUAAUGUUUUGGCCCAUUCUAUAUCUAAAUGGGCUUCCUUCCUUCCCUUGUCAAGGGUUUUGGGAGUUCUCUUUUUCAUAUUGUACAGCAGUUUCUGCCUGUUGAGUCCUAUAAAUCCACCCCUCCCCCCCCCCCCCCCCCAAAAAAAAAAAAAAAACACAAAUAUUGGAGACCCCCUAAUAUCAGCCACUGUGAGAGAGGGGACUAUAGGAAGCUCUUGCAAAAAGUGAAUGAGAGUGUAGAGGUGCUUAAUAGCCGACACCAUUUAGUUGGGAUAAGGCUGAGUUGUUGUUGUAGAGGUACUUAAAUUGGAUCAAUAAUUGACUUCUAGGGAUUCCUUCGAUUUCCAUCAAAGCACUUGGUUCGCUAUUCAGGAAGAAGAAGAGGGGCACAUCCUUUUAUCUUUUUUCUCUUUUAAGGAAAAGAAAAGAGUUCUCAUUUAUGGGAUUAUUAUGCGAAGAAAUAGCGUAAGCCUUUUUUUGGUGUAUCUUCCCUUACUGUGGCGCAAACUGUGUUCAUAAGCUGUUUCGGGUGAGAUAUUUGAUCUCUUCUAC
This is a long non-coding RNA of Macadamia integrifolia, 2046 nucleotides long. RefSeq lists it as uncharacterized. The record is from RefSeq and is a predicted model, not a curated record. The transcript is spliced from 3 exons. Lineage: Eukaryota; Viridiplantae; Streptophyta; Magnoliopsida; Proteales; Proteaceae.